CUAGCGCAAACAGCAAGCAAGCAAUUAGGGAACUCCGAGGAGCACAGUUGCUGUUAGCACCAGGACAACAGUAGUGAAUUAAGAAAGAUCAAUGCUAGGUGCAAGCAGGAGGCAAACACAUAUCAAAGAACAAAGACAAGGCAAGAUGCAGGUGACUGUUUGAGCACCAUCACAUAUAUAGGAAGAGGGAGAAAGAUGGUGAAAGUACUGAUGGCAAGGCACUUAUAGGCAGGCAAGAAACUAGUGGCUGGCCAGAGAAA
RNAcentral lists this long non-coding RNA (260 nucleotides) under Dermacentor andersoni. RNAcentral describes it as "uncharacterized LOC126544991". Lineage: Eukaryota; Metazoa; Arthropoda; Arachnida; Ixodida; Ixodidae. The record is from RNAcentral.